CGGAAUUAUUUUAUAUCAAAUUUUUGCUAAUAACUAGUUUUGUACUUUUUUUUUGUUUUUUUUUUUUUUUUUAUUUGUAAUGGCAGUGCUGAAUAAUCUGAAGCGAAGUUCCGAUGGCGACGAGGAGCCCGAUACUUUCGUCGGGUUUUGCAAGGUUUUUCUACGGGAGCUGCUGAUAUUUCUCAUCUGUUUCUCGGUGUCGGCGCUGAUUUUUGUGCUGUUUUUCUCAGCAUUCAACAGUUUGACGGCGCAGGAACUCAAGCGCCGACCGCGCUCCUACGAUUGCCUCUGGCCCAGGGAAUGGUGCCGCCUGUUCCACCGCGAGCCAACUGCUCCGGGACGAACCAUCCUCAGCCGGUGAAUAGGUCUUCGGUUAUCAGCUAGUUGCUUACAAAUAAGCCGUAAAAAUAGAGGCAUACACAUACCAUUCUGUAAAUAGAAACAUCGGUUUAAUCAACUGCACCUUACUUGUCAUUAAGCACAUCAACUUCCUCCUCAACUGUGGCGUCACUUAAAGUUCCGAACUGUCGGGUAUCUCCUGAUAAAGUUUGAAGUUCAAUUAUAUAUAUAUGCCACCGGGCAAAUGUCUCUCGUCAAGAUUGAGACAUAGUCCCGGGUCAAUAUUAACAAUAUGCAAUCACUUGCAUACGCAGAAAUAAUACCUAAAUCUUAAGAUACAUAACUAUACGUAAAUCCUAACUAUGAGAUAAGCAGCAUGCAACUCUCAAAUGGCUAUUAUAAAUACAUGUGUUUUGACGCCCAGAUUUCAAUUUGUUUCGGUGGCAGUAAUAAGCUGCAUCCCGAUUCAUCUCCAAAGAUGUCUUCCGCAAAUAACUAUAAUCUACCCCUUA
Molecule: long non-coding RNA, 851 nt
Organism: Drosophila arizonae
Lineage: Eukaryota; Metazoa; Arthropoda; Insecta; Diptera; Drosophilidae
Source: RefSeq, a predicted model, not a curated record